This is a long non-coding RNA of Chenopodium quinoa (quinoa), 1355 nucleotides long. RefSeq lists it as uncharacterized. The transcript is spliced from 3 exons. The record is from RefSeq and is a predicted model, not a curated record. NCBI's taxonomy places the organism in Eukaryota, Viridiplantae, Streptophyta, Magnoliopsida, Caryophyllales, Amaranthaceae.
UAACAGCAACAAAGCUAACACAACGGCUACUAAACUUUCAAUUUUUUUUUUUCCCUCAUUAUUUUAUACCUAAAAUUUUGAAAUUUUAAAUUAAAGACUCCAAAUAUUUUAACCCCCACUGUUAGCUUAUUUACAAAUUAAAAAAACUUCAAAUUCCCCUUCUUCAAUUCAUAUGGUUAGGGUUUCCUCCAAUUUUGCAACCUGCCUUCUCCAUCCUUGAGAACCCGUCAUCCAUUGAUCGAAGUCCAUUAAAGUAGUACUCUGAAUCCUUUUCUCUCUGGUCCAAUGAAGUAAUACUCUGAAUCCUCUCCAUUCAAGUCGUAUUUUGAAUUCUCCAUUGAAGCUGUACAUUAAACUCAUCCCUGAAACGGCUUUUGAGCCUUUUGUUCUCCAUUGAAUCAGCUUCUUAGGAUUUAUGGAGGUGAUGGUGGUGGUGACGGUGGUCGCGGCAUCCAUUACGGCGCUUAGAUUUCUAGGAUUUCAGAUUAUAGCUAAGAAGAGAUUUAAGACUACCGCUCCUCUCCUCACUGCCACAUGCACGCUAGGACUAUUUUGGGAGCUCUAUUGAACUCCUGGCUCACUGCUGCUUCGUUCCACUUUGAUACCAUCUUUUGUGAACGUUUUUUACUUGGUGUGCUCCUUGUAUUUCCAUGUCUUCAUGUCCCCUUUAUGUCAUUCAAGUUUAUCUUUGCUCGAUGUUUUGGAAGCUGGGCAAAACAAAAGAUGUGUUCGUUGGUGGAGAUUAUGGUUGACCAUUGAAGGAUAAACGGUUAUGAUUGCUUUUGUUGAUGGCCUUCCCAGUUUGUUUGGGGGUUUUAUUGGGGGUGGGGGUUUUAUUGGGGGUGGGGGUGGUUUUCUGCCUCUCAGUGAAGUUUGAUCACAAAGCUUUGUCAAACUUAGAGCAAGAGUUAGAAGUAAAUAAAUCUUGAUGGUGUUUAUCUAAUUUUUUUAUUCCCUUUUGUUUUUAGUUGGUGCCUAACUGCCCCUAGUGGGUGGCAGGUGCCUUAUAAGCUCACUACUAGAAUAUAAAGUAAUGGCUCAUCGAUCAUCAACGCUUGGUCUUCCUCGAUUUUUUUUCUUUUUUGGCUCCUUACCUUUUGAAGCUGCCGGUGAUUCUACAUUAUAUAAUUUGGGAACAAAAGAUGCAAAGCUUUUAUUUCAGUCUAUUAAAUUUUUUUAAUAAUCUUCCUUAGUUAUUUAGCUAUGAAUUUUGAUGUUAAUUUAAAUAGUGAUAAUUUAUUUUAUAAUUUUCCCAAUGAAAACAAUGUAUAAACCCUUUAUUUUCAUUAAUGAAUUUUCAAUUUAAUAGUCUGGGUAUAUGCAUUGUGUGGCAUUAGAUUUAGGGAACCGUGACA